AUGCUUAACCUGGCAGGGAAGAUACUGUAUCACAAUGUUGCUUUUCUCAGAAUGAGGCUCAUCUACUGUCCUGGAUGUGCUGACCUCUGUAAUUCCUCAGAUGGAGGAAAGCCAGAUAUUUGUGUUGUCAGGGGAUUGUGCUUAUGCUUUGCCCUAA
Cavia aperea (Brazilian guinea pig) is the source of this 157-nucleotide small nuclear RNA. Its record names the gene U1. It matches the Rfam family "U1 spliceosomal RNA". From Rfam's summary of the family: U1 is a small nuclear RNA (snRNA) component of the spliceosome (involved in pre-mRNA splicing). Its 5' end forms complementary base pairs with the 5' splice junction, thus defining the 5' donor site of an intron. Lineage: Eukaryota; Metazoa; Chordata; Mammalia; Rodentia; Caviidae. The record is from Ensembl.